This 440-nucleotide ribosomal RNA is filed under the name uncultured bacterium. RNAcentral's name for it is "partial 16S ribosomal RNA". It matches the Rfam family "Bacterial small subunit ribosomal RNA", at positions 338 to 795 of the family's 1533-position model. The record is from RNAcentral.
CCUACGGGAGGCAGCAGUGGGGAAUAUUGCACAAUGGGGGAAACCCUGAUGCAGCGACGCCGCGUGAGCGAUGAAGUAUUUCUGUAUGUAAAACUCUAUCAGCAGGGGAGAAAAUGACGGUACCUGUAUAAGAAGCCCCGUCUAACUACGUUCCAGCAGCCGCGGUACUACGUAUGGAGCAAGCGUUAUCCGGAUUUACUGGGUGUAAAGGGAGCGUAGACGGCAGUACAAGUCUGGAGUGAAAUCCCGGGGCUUAACACCGGAACUGCCUUGGAAACUGUGUGGCUGGAGUGCAGGAGCGGUAAGCGGAAUGCCUGGGGUAGCGGUGAAAUGCGUAGAUAUCAGGAGGAACACCGGUGGCGAAGGCGGCUUACUGGACUGUAACUGACGUUGAGGCUCGAAAGCGUGGGGAGCAAACAGGAUUAGAUACCCCAGUAGUC